Molecule: ribosomal RNA, 266 nt
Filed under: uncultured archaeon
Lineage: Archaea
Description: partial 16S ribosomal RNA
Rfam family: Archaeal small subunit ribosomal RNA
Source: RNAcentral
AGUCACUGAACAUUAGAUACCCCGGUAGUCCCAGCCGUAAACGAUGUGCGUUAGGUGUAUCGACGACCACGAGUUGUCGAGGUGCCGAAGGGAAACCGUGAAACGUACCGCCUGGGAAGUACGGUCGCAAGGCUGAAACUUAAAGGAAUUGGCGGGGGAGCACCACAACAGGUGGAGCCUGCGGUUUAAUUGGACUCAACGCCGGACAUCUCACCGGAUAAGACAGCUGAAUGAUUGCCGGGCUGAAGACUCUGCAUGACUAGCUG